UUUGAUGGAGUUCCUCCCUUCUCUCCUCACUAAGAACAAGAAUCAAAGAAAGCUUAAAGAGCGUGUAGCCGUCAACAAUGGCUUAGAAAUAACAUAAAUAGGGUUUUAAGUUGUCCAAGGGCAUUCUGGUAAUUUGGAGUUGCUUCUGGGCUUCAGCGGUCAUAAAAUAUGCUCAGCCCAUAUUCUGGCAUCACUGUCGACCGACACCAAUUCUCUUUCAUCGAUCGACAGUCCUUCAUCUCCUCGACAGCUUCC
This 255-nucleotide long non-coding RNA is filed under the name Brassica napus (rape). RNAcentral describes it as "long non-coding RNA (BNAP_LNC023014)". The record is from RNAcentral. Lineage: Eukaryota; Viridiplantae; Streptophyta; Magnoliopsida; Brassicales; Brassicaceae.